This 720-nucleotide ribosomal RNA is filed under the name uncultured bacterium. Its description in RNAcentral is "bacterial SSU rRNA". It matches the Rfam family "Bacterial small subunit ribosomal RNA", at positions 8 to 762 of the family's 1533-position model. The record is from RNAcentral.
AGAGUUUGAUCCUGGCUCAGAACGAACGCUGGCGGCAGGCUUAACACAUGCAAGUCGAACGUGAAGCAGGAGCUUGCUCCUGUGGAAAGUGGCAGACGGGUGAGUAACGCGUGGGAAUUUACCCAGUGGUUCGGAAUAACGCAUGGAAACGUGUGCUAAUACCGGAUACGCCCUCCGGGGGAAAGAUUUAUCGCCAUUGGAUGAGCCCGCGUCGGAUUAGCUAGUUGGUGAGGUAAUGGCUCACCAAGGCGACGAUCCGUAGCUGGUCUGAGAGGAUGAUCAGCCACACUGGGACUGAGACACGGCCCAGACUCCUACGGGAGGCAGCAGUGGGGAAUAUUGCGCAAUGGGGGAAACCCUGACGCAGCCAUGCCGCGUGAGUGAAGAAGGCCUUAGGGUUGUAAAACUCUUUCAGUGGUGAAGAUAAUGACGGUAGCCACAGAAGAAGCCCCGGCCAACUCCGUGCCAGCAGCCGCGGUAAUACGGAGGGGGCUAGCGUUGUUCGGAAUUACUGGGCGUAAAGCGCGCGUAGGCGGGCUGGUUAGUUGGGGGUGAAAUCCCAGGGCUCAACCCUGGAACUGCCCUCAAUACUGCCAGUCUUGAGUUCGAGAGAGGUAAGCGGAAUUCCUAGUGUAGAGGUGAAAUUCGUAGAUAUUAGGAAGAACACCAGUGGCGAAGGCGGCUUACUGGCUCGAUACUGACGCUGAGGCGCGAAAGCGU